UCAGGGAGGAAUCAAUGACGUGUACCUGAGGAAUAAGCAUCGGCUAACUCCGUGCCAGCAGCCGCGGUAAGACGGAGGAUGCAAGUGUUAUCCGGAAUCACUGGGCGUAAAGCGUCUGUAGGUGGUCCAAUAAGUCAACUGUUAAAUCUUGAGGCUCAACCUCAAAAUCGCAGUCGAAACUAUUAGACUAGAGUAUAGUAGGGGUAAAGGGAAUUUCCAGUGGAGCGGUGAAAUGCGUAGAGAUUGG
RNAcentral lists this ribosomal RNA (247 nucleotides) under uncultured phototrophic eukaryote. RNAcentral describes it as "partial 16S ribosomal RNA". It matches the Rfam family "Bacterial small subunit ribosomal RNA", at positions 439 to 700 of the family's 1533-position model. The record is from RNAcentral.